GUGAGCCACCAUGUGGUUGCUGGGAUCUGAACUCAGGACCUCUGGAAGAGCAGUCAGUGCUCUUAACCACUGAGCCAUCUUUCCAGCCCAAUUUUAGGAAUUCUUAUAGGAUCAUCAUUAAGACUUAAGUCAUCUAUUUGUCUAUAUAGCAUCACUAUAAGAUCUUCGUGGAUCUGCAGAGAUCUGCUCCAAAGGGGUGGGCUACUACUUAAGUGAUCGUUAUAUAUGUUUAAUAAUAACAGGAAAAGCAUGUUAAUAGCAGGAAUCUUUUACAUAUGAAAUGGGGCCCAUUCACUUAGCUCACUGGCACGGAGCCGGGGCUGGAAUAAAGGCAAGUUCAUCACUUCCAACCACUACCACUCCUAAAAUGAGUCCCUCACAACCUUGCUUAAUGAGGGCUCACCUGUCGCAGAUUAUAUACUAAUCCGAGGCAGGCCACUUCAGUUAUUAACAACUUGCUAGUUAUUAGUUUGUCCCAUUAUGGCUCCUGCCAGGCCCUGGGUCCCCCCCUUGAGCUGGCUCCCAGUUUGGGCAUGUCACUAGACCUCUUGUCUCUCAGGCUUUUCUCCAUUUUUUUUCCUGCAGUUCCAUCAGACAAGAGCAGUUCUGGAUCAGAGCUUUUGACUGUGGGAUGGCAACCCCAUCCCUCCACUUGGGGUAUAGAACUAAACAGAAUUCGCAACAAAGGCAUCUCGAAGGGCUGAGAAGCACUUAAAGAAAUGUUCAGAGUCCUUAGUGAUCAGGGCAAUGCAAAUUAAGACGACCCUGAGAUUCCACCUUAUAUCAAUCAGAAUGGCUAAGAUCAAAUACUCAGGUGACAGCAGAUGCUGGAGAAGAUGUGGAGAAAGAGGAACACUCCUCUAUGGCUGAUGGGAUUGCAAACUUUGUAAGUGUCUUAACUGCAAACAGAACCCUAACCUGCAAGGUAUAUUGUUCCUGUUUCAGUCUCCCAUUAACUUACAAGUUAUAUUGUUCCUGUUUUAGUCUCACACAUGGCCUGCAAACUACCUGGACCAUGAUAACAGAAACAGGGAGGGAGGGUGAAAGAGGAGCCAUUGACCAAGAGGUCUGGGUCAAGAGGCCAAGAGGCCAAGAGAGCAGCUUAGCCAAAAUGGCUGAGUUAUAUAGUGAGCAGGCUGGGUGAAGGAAGUGGAAGGCCACAGGAGGGAGAAGUUUAGGGUACACAGGGGAGAAGGGCUGGGAGAAGCCACAGGUACUGAAGGAUGCUGGGAGAACUGGUU
Molecule: long non-coding RNA, 1241 nt
Filed under: Mus musculus (house mouse)
Lineage: Eukaryota; Metazoa; Chordata; Mammalia; Rodentia; Muridae
Description: long non-coding RNA chr7:45602864-45604105
Source: RNAcentral